CCUACGGGCGGCAGCAGUGAGGAAUAUUGGUCAAUGGACGAGAGUCUGAACCAGCCACGUCGCGUGAAGGAUGACUGCCCUAUGGGUUGUAAACUUCUUUUAUAUGGGAAUAAAAUGUUCCACGUGUGGGAUUAUGUAUGUACCAUAUGAAUAAGGAUCGGCUAACUCCGUGCCAGCAGCCGCGGUAAUACGGAGGAUCCGAGCGUUAUCCGGAUUUAUUGGGUUUAAAGGGAGCGCAGGUGGAUUGUUAAGUCAGUUGUGAAAGUUUGCGGCUCAACCGUAAGAUUGCAGUUGAAACUGGCAGUCUUGAGUACAGUAGAGGUGGGCGGAAUUCGUGGUGUAGCGGUGAAAUGCUUAGAUAUCACGAAGAACUCCGAUUGCGAAGGCAGCGCACUGGACUGCAACUGACGCUGAGGCUCGAAAGUGUGGGUAUCAAACAGGAUUAGAUACCCGUGUAGUC
RNAcentral lists this ribosomal RNA (460 nucleotides) under uncultured bacterium. RNAcentral describes it as "partial 16S ribosomal RNA". It matches the Rfam family "Bacterial small subunit ribosomal RNA", at positions 338 to 795 of the family's 1533-position model. The record is from RNAcentral.